CACUAGAAAGGGAGCUCCUGUGGU
Molecule: non-coding RNA, 24 nt
Filed under: Cricetulus griseus (Chinese hamster)
Lineage: Eukaryota; Metazoa; Chordata; Mammalia; Rodentia; Cricetidae
Source: RNAcentral